This 433-nucleotide ribosomal RNA is filed under the name uncultured bacterium. RNAcentral describes it as "partial 16S ribosomal RNA". It matches the Rfam family "Bacterial small subunit ribosomal RNA", at positions 29 to 507 of the family's 1533-position model. The record is from RNAcentral.
AACGAACGCUGGCGGCAUGCCUAACACAUGCAAGUCGAACGAGACCUUCGGGUCUAGUGGCGCACGGGUGCGUAACGCGUGGGAACCUGCCCUUAGGUUCGGAAUAACUCCCCGAAAGGGGUGCUAAUACCGGAUAAUGUCUUCGGACCAAAGAUUUAUCGCCUUUGGAUGGGCCCGCGUUGGAUUAGCUAGUUGGUAGGGUAAAAGCCUACCAAGGCGACGAUCCAUAGCUGGUCUGAGAGGAUGAUCAGCCACACUGGGACUGAGACACGGCCCAGACUCCUACGGGAGGCAGCAGUGGGGGAUAUUGGACAAUGGGCGAAAGCCUGAUCCAGCAAUGCCGCGUGAGUGAUGAAGGCCUUAGGGUUGUAAAGCUCUUUUACCCGGGAUGAUAAUGACAGUACCGGGAGAAUAAGCUCCGGCUAACUCCGUG